GCCUGUAGGCUCUGAGCGUAGUAAUUCUUCUCGCUAUAGANUCCUAUAAGUNUCUUGCCAAAACCCCCAUAUUUUUUCAGGUUGACCUNGGAUCAGGUAGGGAUACCCGCUGAACUUAAGCAUAUCAAUAAGCGGAGGAAAAGAANCCAACAGGGAUUACCUCAGUAACGGCGAGUGAAGCGGUANCAGCUCAAAUUUGAAAGCUGCCAACAGGCCGCGUUGUAAUUUGUAGAAGAUGCUUUGGGUGUUGGCCUAGUCUAAGUUCCUUGGAACAGGACGUCAUAGAGGGUGAGAAUCCCGUAUGUGAUUAGUGCCAUCCCCCGUGUAAAGCUCUUUCGACGAGUCGAGUUGUUUGGGAAUGCAGCUCAAAAUGGGUGGUAAAUUUCAUCUAAAGCUAAAUAUUGGCCAGAGACCGAUAGCGCACAAGUAGAGUGAUCGAAAGAUGAAAAGCACUUUGGAAAGAGAGUUAAACAGUACGUGAAAUUGUUGAAAGGGAAGCGCUUGCAAUCAGACUUGCAGGCGGUUGAUCAUCCGAGGUUCUCCCCGGUGCACUCGAUCGUCUUCAGGCCAGCAUCGGUUUCAGUGGUGGGAUAAAGGCUGUGAGAAUGUGGCUCUUCGGAGUGUUAUAGCUCACGGUGCAAUGCCGCCUACUGGGACCGAGGACCGCGCUUCGGCUAGGAUGCUGGCGUAAUGGUUGUAAGCGACC
Molecule: ribosomal RNA, 706 nt
Filed under: uncultured fungus
Lineage: Eukaryota; Fungi
Description: eukaryotic LSU rRNA
Rfam family: Eukaryotic large subunit ribosomal RNA (bases 83-706)
Source: RNAcentral